ACUUAGUGUAACAGUAUGGAUGUUUAUGAUAUAACCAUACUAGAUCACAAAUGUUCCAUGAGAUAACAAUCUUUUAUGCAUGUUUCACCACAGUUUUGGAUAGCAAAUUUGCAUUACGCAAUUAAUCUUUAGGACAGUAAAUAUUUCUCCUACCAUGAUACAAUGGUCGAAGAAGUUAGCAUGAUAUGUGAUUCAAUCUUAUUCCACAAAUAUCCCCAUC
RNAcentral lists this long non-coding RNA (220 nucleotides) under Elaeis guineensis (African oil palm). RNAcentral describes it as "long non-coding RNA (EGUI_LNC031279)". Lineage: Eukaryota; Viridiplantae; Streptophyta; Magnoliopsida; Arecales; Arecaceae. The record is from RNAcentral.